This 76-nucleotide transfer RNA is filed under the name Verrucomicrobiota bacterium. Its description in RNAcentral is "Verrucomicrobia bacterium (freshwater metagenome) tRNA-Val". It matches the Rfam family "tRNA". From Rfam's summary of the family: Transfer RNA (tRNA) molecules are approximately 80 nucleotides in length. Lineage: Bacteria; Pseudomonadati; Verrucomicrobiota. The record is from RNAcentral.
GGUGGGGUAGCUCAGCGGUUAGAGCAGAGGUUUUACAUACCUCGGGUCGGGGGUUCGAUUCCCUCCCUCACCACCA